CCUACGGGAGGCAGCAGUGGGGAAUAUUGGGCAAUGGAGGAAACUCUGACCCAGCGACGCCGCGUGAGGGAUGAAGGCCUUCGGGUUGUAAACCUCUUUCAGUAGGGAAGAAGCGAAAGUGAUGGUACCUACAGAAGAAGCACCGGCUAACUAUGUGCCAGCAGCCGCGGUAAUACAUAGGGUGCAAGCGUUGUCCGGAAUUAUUGGGCGUAAAGAGCUCGUAGGUGGUUCGAUACGUCGGAUGUGAAAAUCAGGGGCUCAACCCCUGACCUGCAUCCGAUACGGUCGAGCUAGAGUUUGGUAGGGGAGACUGGAAUUCCUGGUGUAGCGGUGGAAUGCGCAGAUAUCAGGAGGAACACCGAUGGCGAAGGCAGGUCUCUGGGCCAAUACUGACACUGAGGAGCGAAAGCGUGGGGAGCGAACAGGAUUAGAUACCCUGGUAGUCCACGCCGUAAACGGUGGGCGCUAGUUGUGCGAACCUUCCACGGUUUGUGCGACGCAGCUAACGCAUUAAGCGCCCCGGCCCUGGGGGAGGUACGAGUCGCAGAAUUAAAACGUUAAAACGGUAAAGUUAGUACGGCGUGAGACGUGCCGACGGACGACGACCGAGGGGAGGUAGGG
This 621-nucleotide ribosomal RNA is filed under the name uncultured bacterium. RNAcentral's name for it is "bacterial SSU rRNA". The stretch from base 1 to 525 matches the Rfam family "Bacterial small subunit ribosomal RNA", at positions 338 to 873 of the family's 1533-position model. The record is from RNAcentral.